This 469-nucleotide ribosomal RNA is filed under the name uncultured bacterium. RNAcentral describes it as "partial 16S ribosomal RNA". It matches the Rfam family "Bacterial small subunit ribosomal RNA", at positions 28 to 507 of the family's 1533-position model. The record is from RNAcentral.
GACGAACGCUGGCGGCGUGCUUAACACAUGCAAGUCGAACGGAAAGGCCCUGCUUGCAGGGUGCUCGAGUGGCGAACGGGUGAGUAACACGUGGGUGAUCUGCCCCUUACUUUGGGAUAAGCCUGGGAAACUGGGUCUAAUACUGGAUAGGACCAUGCUGUAGGUGGUGUGGUGGAAAGAUUAGUUUCGGUAAGGGAUGAGCUCGCGGCCUAUCAGCUUGUUGGUGGGGUAAUGGCCUACCAAGGCGUCGACGGGUAGCCGGCCUGAGAGGGUGGGCGGCCACAUUGAGACUGAGAUGCGGCCCAGACUCCUACGGGAGGCAGCAGUGGGGAAUAUUGCACAAUAGGCGCAAGCCUGAUGCAGCGACGGCGCGUGGGGGAUGACGGCCUUCGGGUUGUAAACUCCUUUCAGCCAUGACGAAGCCCUUGUGGUGACGGUAGUGGUAGAAGAAGCACCGGCUAACUACGUG